Molecule: long non-coding RNA, 578 nt
Organism: Homo sapiens (human)
Lineage: Eukaryota; Metazoa; Chordata; Mammalia; Primates; Hominidae
Product: long intergenic non-protein coding RNA 1099
Source: Ensembl
AAACAUUUGAGAAAGCCAGAAAGCAGAGGGGAGGAAGCUCCACCGUCAUGAGAAUGGGAAGCAGAGGCAGCGGCAGCGUGCACAGACAUCCUUUGAAGGUUUGUUAUAAACACAGAAACUGAUGUCUGGGAAAAGGGCCAGUUGGGUUAUCCUUCUUGUUUCAUUGUUUGUCCUGCUUAAAAUUGAGAAUGAACAGAGACUCACUGAUUUCAUCUUCUGAAUUUGAAAAGAAUGACACACAUUGCCCUGCAAUUCAGGUCUGACUUCAGCUGCAGGAAGACAGACCCCCAACCCAGAACAACCCUGCGUGGGGAAUCCUUCGGGAAAAGGCUAAGCAAAAUACAACACUGGAAUUUGGGGAGGGGCUUGGAGAGUUUGUUUUUAAAAGUCUUGAGCAAUAAAUCAUCUAACCACAAGAGUAAGAAAAUUAGUUUUCAACUUUAAUUUCUUUGGUCUUUCAGUUUUAACAGGCACACCUUUAACAUUCAUUUUCGACCCACUGAAGAGGAGAUGAGCUUAUUGGCUGGUGCACCUUGACAGCAUGUAGGUGGAAAACAGGACAUUCAGUCUUUGGUGCA